RNAcentral lists this ribosomal RNA (2771 nucleotides) under Escherichia coli. RNAcentral's name for it is "partial 23S ribosomal RNA". It matches the Rfam family "Bacterial large subunit ribosomal RNA". Lineage: Bacteria; Pseudomonadati; Pseudomonadota; Gammaproteobacteria; Enterobacterales; Enterobacteriaceae. The record is from RNAcentral.
GUUAAGCGACUAAGCGUACACGGUGGAUGCCCUGGCAGUCAGAGGCGAUGAAGGACGUGCUAAUCUGCGAUAAGCGUCGGUAAGGUGAUAUGAACCGUUAUAACCGGCGAUUUCCGAAUGGGGAAACCCAGUGUGAUUCGUCACACUAUCAUUAACUGAAUCCAUAGGUUAAUGAGGCGAACCGGGGGAACUGAAACAUCUAAGUACCCCGAGGAAAAGAAAUCAACCGAGAUUCCCCCAGUAGCGGCGAGCGAACGGGGAGCAGCCCAGAGCCUGAAUCAGUGUGUGUGUUAGUGGAAGCGUCUGGAAAGGCGCGCGAUACAGGGUGACAGCCCCGUACACAAAAAUGCACAUGCUGUGAGCUCGAUGAGUAGGGCGGGACACGUGGUAUCCUGUCUGAAUAUGGGGGGACCAUCCUCCAAGGCUAAAUACUCCUGACUGACCGAUAGUGAACCAGUACCGUGAGGGAAAGGCGAAAAGAACCCCGGCGAGGGGAGUGAAAAAGAACCUGAAACCGUGUACGUACAAGCAGUGGGAGCACGCUUCGGCGUGUGACUGCGUACCUUUUGUAUAAUGGGUCAGCGACUUAUAUUCUGUAGCAAGGUUAACCGAAUAGGGGAGCCGAAGGGAAACCGAGUCUUAACUGGGCGUUAAGUUGCAGGGUAUAGACCCGAAACCCGGUGAUCUAGCCAUGGGCAGGUUGAAGGUUGGGUAACACUAACUGGAGGACCGAACCGACUAAUGUUGAAAAAUUAGCGGAUGACUUGUGGCUGGGGGUGAAAGGCCAAUCAAACCGGGAGAUAGCUGGUUCUCCCCGAAAGCUAUUUAGGUAGCGCCUCGUGAAUUCAUCUCCGGGGGUAGAGCACUGUUUCGGCAAGGGGGUCAUCCCGACUUACCAACCCGAUGCAAACUGCGAAUACCGGAGAAUGUUAUCACGGGAGACACACGGCGGGUGCUAACGUCCGUCGUGAAGAGGGAAACAACCCAGACCGCCAGCUAAGGUCCCAAAGUCAUGGUUAAGUGGGAAACGAUGUGGGAAGGCCCAGACAGCCAGGAUGUUGGCUUAGAAGCAGCCAUCAUUUAAAGAAAGCGUAAUAGCUCACUGGUCGAGUCGGCCUGCGCGGAAGAUGUAACGGGGCUAAACCAUGCACCGAAGCUGCGGCAGCGACGCUUAUGCGUUGUUGGGUAGGGGAGCGUUCUGUAAGCCUGUGAAGGUGUGCUGUGAGGCAUGCUGGAGGUAUCAGAAGUGCGAAUGCUGACAUAAGUAACGAUAAAGCGGGUGAAAAGCCCGCUCGCCGGAAGACCAAGGGUUCCUGUCCAACGUUAAUCGGGGCAGGGUGAGUCGACCCCUAAGGCGAGGCCGAAAGGCGUAGUCGAUGGGAAACAGGUUAAUAUUCCUGUACUUGGUGUUACUGCGAAGGGGGGACGGAGAAGGCUAUGUUGGCCGGGCGACGGUUGUCCCGGUUUAAGCGUGUAGGCUGGUUUUCCAGGCAAAUCCGGAAAAUCAAGGCUGAGGCGUGAUGACGAGGCACUACGGUGCUGAAGCAACAAAUGCCCUGCUUCCAGGAAAAGCCUCUAAGCAUCAGGUAACAUCAAAUCGUACCCCAAACCGACACAGGUGGUCAGGUAGAGAAUACCAAGGCGCUUGAGAGAACUCGGGUGAAGGAACUAGGCAAAAUGGUGCCGUAACUUCGGGAGAAGGCACGCUGAUAUGUAGGUGAAGCGACUUGCUCGUGGAGCUGAAAUCAGUCGAAGAUACCAGCUGGCUGCAACUGUUUAUUAAAAACACAGCACUGUGCAAACACGAAAGUGGACGUAUACGGUGUGACGCCUGCCCGGUGCCGGAAGGUUAAUUGAUGGGGUUAGCGCAAGCGAAGCUCUUGAUCGAAGCCCCGGUAAACGGCGGCCGUAACUAUAACGGUCCUAAGGUAGCGAAAUUCCUUGUCGGGUAAGUUCCGACCUGCACGAAUGGCGUAAUGAUGGCCAGGCUGUCUCCACCCGAGACUCAGUGAAAUUGAACUCGCUGUGAAGAUGCAGUGUACCCGCGGCAAGACGGAAAGACCCCGUGAACCUUUACUAUAGCUUGACACUGAACAUUGAGCCUUGAUGUGUAGGAUAGGUGGGAGGCUUUGAAGUGUGGACGCCAGUCUGCAUGGAGCCGACCUUGAAAUACCACCCUUUAAUGUUUGAUGUUCUAACGUUGACCCGUAAUCCGGGUUGCGGACAGUGUCUGGUGGGUAGUUUGACUGGGGCGGUCUCCUCCUAAAGAGUAACGGAGGAGCACGAAGGUUGGCUAAUCCUGGUCGGACAUCAGGAGGUUAGUGCAAUGGCAUAAGCCAGCUUGACUGCGAGCGUGACGGCGCGAGCAGGUGCGAAAGCAGGUCAUAGUGAUCCGGUGGUUCUGAAUGGAAGGGCCAUCGCUCAACGGAUAAAAGGUACUCCGGGGAUAACAGGCUGAUACCGCCCAAGAGUUCAUAUCGACGGCGGUGUUUGGCACCUCGAUGUCGGCUCAUCACAUCCUGGGGCUGAAGUAGGUCCCAAGGGUAUGGCUGUUCGCCAUUUAAAGUGGUACGCGAGCUGGGUUUAGAACGUCGUGAGACAGUUCGGUCCCUAUCUGCCGUGGGCGCUGGAGAACUGAGGGGGGCUGCUCCUAGUACGAGAGGACCGGAGUGGACGCAUCACUGGUGUUCGGGUUGUCAUGCCAAUGGCACUGCCCGGUAGCUAAAUGCGGAAGAGAUAAGUGCUGAAAGCAUCUAAGCACGAAACUUGCC